GCUGUGGAUAGGGGUGAAAGGCUAAACAAAUCCGGAAAUAGCUGGUUCUCCCCGAAAACUAUUUAGGUAGUGCGUCUUGUAUCACUUGCGGGGGUAAAGCACUGUUAUGGCUAGGGGGUCAUCGCGACUUACCAAACCAUGGCAAACUCUGAAUACCGCAAAGUGCGAGCAAGGCAGACAGACAGUGGGUGCUAACGUCCAUUGUCAAGAGGGAAACAACCCAGACCGCCAGCUAAGGUCCCAAAUCCAUGGCUAAGUGGAAAACGAGGUGGGAAGGCAUAGACAGCUAGGAGGUUGGCUUAGAAGCAGCCACCCUUUAAAGAAAGCGUAAUAGCUCACUAGUCGAGUCGUCCUGCGCGGAAGAUGUAACGGGGCUCAAGCCAUGAACCGAAGCUGCGGAUGCAUUUUAUGCAUGGUAGGGGAGCGUUCUGUAAGUCUGUGAAGGUGUCUUGUAAAGGAUGCUGGAGAUAUCAGAAGUGCG
Molecule: ribosomal RNA, 481 nt
Filed under: uncultured bacterium
Lineage: Bacteria
Description: bacterial LSU rRNA
Rfam family: Bacterial large subunit ribosomal RNA
Source: RNAcentral